This 468-nucleotide ribosomal RNA is filed under the name uncultured bacterium. RNAcentral's name for it is "partial 16S ribosomal RNA". It matches the Rfam family "Bacterial small subunit ribosomal RNA", at positions 28 to 507 of the family's 1533-position model. The record is from RNAcentral.
GACGAACGCUGGCGGCGUGCCUAAUACAUGCAAGUCGAACGGAAAGGCCCUGAUCUUGCUGGGCGCUCGAGUGGCGCACGGGUGUGUAACACGCGAGUAACCUCCCCCUGUCUUUGGGAUAACUUCACGAAACUGGGGCUCAUACCGCAUAGAAGCUACUGCUGCAUGGGGGUGGUUGGAAAGUUUGGGCGGUUGGGGAUGGACUGGCGGCUUAUCAGCUUGUUGGUGGGGUAGUGGCUUACCAAGCUUUCGACGGGUAGCCCGCCUGAGAGGGUGACCGGCCACAAGGGGACUGAGAGACGCCGCAGAAGGCAACGGGAGGCAAUGGGGGAGAGUAUGGCGGAGUGGGCGCAAGCGAGAUGCGACAGCGCCGCGUGCGUGAUGCCCGCCUUCGGGGUGUGAACCGCUUUCGCAGGAGACAAAGCGUGAGUGACGGUAAUGGGUCAAGAAGCACCGGCUAACUACGUG